Molecule: ribosomal RNA, 468 nt
Filed under: uncultured bacterium
Lineage: Bacteria
Description: partial 16S ribosomal RNA
Rfam family: Bacterial small subunit ribosomal RNA
Source: RNAcentral
GACGAACGCUGGCGGCGUGCUUAACACGUGCAAGUCGAACGGAAAGGCCCUGCUUUUGUGGGGUGCUCGAGUGGCGAACGGGUGAGUAACACGUGAGUAACCUGCCCUUGACUUUGGGAUAACUUCAGGAAACUGGGGCUAAUACCGGAUAGGAGCUCCUGCUGCAUGGUGGGGGUUGGAAAGUUUCGGCGGUUGGGGAUGGACUCGCGGCUUAUCAGCUUGUUGGUGGGGUAGUGGCUUACCAAGGCGUUGACGGGUAGCCGGCCUGAGAGGGUGACCGGCCACAUUGGGACUGAGACACGGCCCAGACUCCUACGGGAGGCAGCAGUGGGGAAUAUUGCACAAUGGGCGGAAGCCUGAUGCAGCAACGCCGCGUGCGGGAUGACGGCCUUCGGGUUGUAAACCGCUUUCGCCUGUGACGAAGCGUGAGUGACGGUAAUGGGUAAAGAAGCACCGGCUAACUACGUG